Molecule: ribosomal RNA, 292 nt
Filed under: Parvimonas sp.
Lineage: Bacteria; Bacillati; Bacillota; Tissierellia; Tissierellales; Peptoniphilaceae
Description: partial 16S ribosomal RNA
Rfam family: Bacterial small subunit ribosomal RNA
Source: RNAcentral
UUUUAAUAGAGAGUUUGAUCCUGGCUCAGGACGAACGCUGGCGGCGUGCUUAACACAUGCAAGUCGAACGUGAUUUUUGUGGAAAGCCCUUCGGGGACGGAAGCGAAAUGAAAGUGGCGAACGGGUGAGUAACACGUGAGCAACCUACCUUACACAGGGGGAUAGCCGUUGGAAACGACGAUUAAUACCGCAUGAGACCACAAAGCCACAUGGCUUAGGGGUAAAAGAUUUAUCGGUGUAAGAUGGGCUCGCGUCUGAUUAGCUAGUUGGAAGGGUAAAGGCCUACCAAGGC